UACGUAGGGGGCAAGCGUUGUCCGGAAUCAUUGGGCGUAAAGCGCGUGUAGGCGGUCCGGUAAGUCCGCUGUGAAAGUCGGGGGCUUAACCCUCGGAUGCCGGUGGAUACUGUCGGGCUUGAGUACGGAAGAGGCGAGUGGAAUUCCUGGUGUAGCGGUGGAAUGCGCAGAUAUCAGGAGGAACACCAAUUGCGAAGGCAGCUCGCUGGGACGUUACUGACGCUGAGACGCGAAAGCGUGGGGAGCAAACAGG
RNAcentral lists this ribosomal RNA (253 nucleotides) under uncultured bacterium. RNAcentral's name for it is "partial 16S ribosomal RNA". It matches the Rfam family "Bacterial small subunit ribosomal RNA", at positions 524 to 776 of the family's 1533-position model. The record is from RNAcentral.